UACUUGGAUGGGUGACCGCCUGGGAACAC
RNAcentral lists this small RNA (29 nucleotides) under Bombyx mori (domestic silkworm). RNAcentral's name for it is "ovarian small RNA-21670". The record is from RNAcentral. Lineage: Eukaryota; Metazoa; Arthropoda; Insecta; Lepidoptera; Bombycidae.